GGGAACUACGAGCCAAGCUUAAAACCCAAAGGACUUGACGGUACCCCAUAUCCCCCUAGAGGAGCCUGUCCUAUAAUCGAUAACCCCCGUUUAACCUCACCAUUUCUAGCAACUCAGCCUGUAUACCUCCGUCGUCAGCUUACCACGUGAGCGCUAGUGAGCUCAAUGUUUUUUCAACUAAACGUCAGGUCAAGGUGCAACACAUGAAAUUGGGAAGAGAUGGGCUACACUUUCUAACAAAUAAGAGGUCCAGCCUGCCCAGUGA
This 265-nucleotide ribosomal RNA is filed under the name Ranitomeya fantastica (red-headed poison frog). RNAcentral's name for it is "partial 12S ribosomal RNA". It matches the Rfam family "Bacterial small subunit ribosomal RNA", at positions 875 to 1265 of the family's 1533-position model. Lineage: Eukaryota; Metazoa; Chordata; Amphibia; Anura; Dendrobatidae. The record is from RNAcentral.